UGUUGAGUGAAGGUCAGGAGUAGA
Molecule: non-coding RNA, 24 nt
Filed under: Cricetulus griseus (Chinese hamster)
Lineage: Eukaryota; Metazoa; Chordata; Mammalia; Rodentia; Cricetidae
Source: RNAcentral